GACGAACGCUGGCGGCGCGCCUAACACAUGCAAGUCGAACGGAGUUUCCCCUUCGGGGGGAGCUUAGUGGCGGACGGGUGAGUAACACGUGAGGAACCUGCCUUUGAGAGCGGGAUACCGUCUGGAAACGGACGUUAAUACCGCAUAAUGCAGCGAGGCCACAUGGCCAUGCUGCCAAAGAUUUAUCGCUCAAAGAUGGCCUCGCGCCUGAUUAGAUAGUUGGCGGGGUAACGGCCCACCAAGUCUGCGAUCAGUAGCCGGACUGAGAGGUCGAACGGCCACAUUGGGACUGAGAUACGGCCCAGACUCCUACGGGAGGCAGCAGUGAGGAAUAUUGGUCAAUGGGCGCUAGCCUGAACCAGCCAAGUCGCGUGAAGGAUGACGGCCCUACGGGUUGUAAACUGCUUUUCCCCGGGGCGAAUAACCCCCUCGCGAGGGGAGUGCCGGUACCGGGGAACGUAAGGAUCGGCGUAACUCCGUGCCAGCAGCCGCGGUAACUGUAGUCGU
Molecule: ribosomal RNA, 507 nt
Filed under: uncultured bacterium
Lineage: Bacteria
Description: bacterial SSU rRNA
Rfam family: Bacterial small subunit ribosomal RNA
Source: RNAcentral